This 807-nucleotide ribosomal RNA is filed under the name Microbacterium sp. RNAcentral's name for it is "bacterial SSU rRNA". It matches the Rfam family "Bacterial small subunit ribosomal RNA", at positions 67 to 883 of the family's 1533-position model. Lineage: Bacteria; Bacillati; Actinomycetota; Actinomycetes; Micrococcales; Microbacteriaceae. The record is from RNAcentral.
CGGUGAAGCCCAGCUUGCUGGGUGGAUCAGUGGCGAACGGGUGAGUAACACGUGAGCAACCUGCCCCUGACUCUGGGAUAAGCGCUGGAAACGGCGUCUAAUACUGGAUAUGUGACGUGACCGCAUGGUCUACGUUUGGAAAGAUUUUUCGGUUGGGGAUGGGCUCGCGGCCUAUCAGCUUGUUGGUGAGGUAAUGGCUCACCAAGGCGUCGACGGGUAGCCGGCCUGAGAGGGUGACCGGCCACACUGGGACUGAGACACGGCCCAGACUCCUACGGGAGGCAGCAGUGGGGAAUAUUGCACAAUGGGCGGAAGCCUGAUGCAGCAACGCCGCGUGAGGGAUGACGGCCUUCGGGUUGUAAACCUCUUUUAGCAGGGAAGAAGCGAAAGUGACGGUACCUGCAGAAAAAGCGCCGGCUAACUACGUGCCAGCAGCCGCGGUAAUACGUAGGGCGCAAGCGUUAUCCGGAAUUAUUGGGCGUAAAGAGCUCGUAGGCGGUUUGUCGCGUCUGCUGUGAAAUCCCGAGGCUCAACCUCGGGCCUGCAGUGGGUACGGGCAGACUAGAGUGCGGUAGGGGAGAUUGGAAUUCCUGGUGUAGCGGUGGAAUGCGCAGAUAUCAGGAGGAACACCGAUGGCGAAGGCAGAUCUCUGGGCCGUAACUGACGCUGAGGAGCGAAAGGGGUGGGGAGCAAACAGGCUUAGAUACCCUGGUAGUCCACCCCGUAAACGUUGGGAACUAGUUGUGGGGUCCAUUCCACGGAUUCCGUGACGCAGCUAACGCAUUAAGUUCCCCGCCUGGGGAGUAC